This 544-nucleotide small RNA is filed under the name Cryptococcus neoformans H99. RNAcentral describes it as "Cryptococcus neoformans var. grubii H99 hypothetical RNA". Lineage: Eukaryota; Fungi; Basidiomycota; Tremellomycetes; Tremellales; Cryptococcaceae. The record is from RNAcentral.
CUUCCAUCCCCCAUUACUAUUGCACGUUCCAGAGAUUCGCAGCCAUCAACUUCUUACCUUGUCCGACACAAAUCUCCCCGCCUUAAAUUUACUGUUCGUUCACGAAGACUGCGGCCAUACCCUACCAUUGCGCAUUAGCCUUGCAUUAUGCAUGACCUCGGCCCAAAUCGCUAUCGCCAGUCCUUCAGUCGACGAAUGAGCUAAGGAGAGUGACUAUUGCAACAUAAGUCCAACAAACAUAGCAUAUGUAGCAGUAUGUCAGCUCCUUUAGGAAAAUGAUUGGUACAUAGGCCCCAAGGCUUGCAUGAACCAAACAAGUAGAGUGAUCGAUAAGCGUGAGGUCUCAAACAUGGAUUAUCAGUAACCUCUUCAUUCGCCUUAGCUGCAACCCAAGAUUCAUCGUCUACAUUCUGGAAGAGCAAGCAUCUCUACAAUACUCCUAUGCCUUGCGUAGUCAGUGGUAUUAGUAUAAGUAGAAUAACGGGAUCAAAAGGGCGAGGGGGGGGUACAUUCUUUUCCGUAUGUAUGUAUCUGAUCAAGUGUC